AGAGUUUGAUCCUGGCUCAGGAUGAACGCUAGCGACAGGCUUAACACAUGCAAGUCGAGGGGCAGCGGGGAGGUAGCAAUACUUCCGCCGGCGACCGGCGCACGGGUGAGUAACACGUAUGGAACCUGCCCGUAGCAGGGGGGAUAAACGGAAGAAAUUCCGUCUAAUACCGCGUAAUAACUCCGAGAGGCAUCUCAUGGAGUUUAAAGGGUAACACCGGCUACGGAUGGCCAUGCGGCGCAUUAGCUAGUUGGCGGGGUAACGGCCCACCAAGGCGACGAUGCGUAGGGGUUCUGAGAGGAAGGUCCCCCACACUGGUACUGAGACACGGACCAGACUCCUACGGGAGGCAGCAGUGAGGAAUAUUGGUCAAUGGGCGCGAGCCUGAACCAGCCAAGUCGCGUGAGGGAAGACGGUCUUAUGGAUUGUAAACCUCUUUUGUCGGGGAGCAAAAGACGCCACGUGUGGCGUUCCGAGAGUACCCGAAGAAAAAGCAUCGACUAACUCCGUGCCAGCAGCCGCGGUAAUACGGAGGAUGCGAGCGUUAUCCGGAUUUAUUGGGUUUAAAGGGUGCGCAGGCGGAAGAUCAAGUCAGCGGUAAAAUUGAGAGGCUCAACCUCUUCGAGCCGUUGAAACUGGUUUUCUUGAGUGAGCGAGAAGUAUGCGGAAUGCGUGGUGUAGCGGUGAAAUGCAUAGAUAUCACGCAGAACUCCGAUUGCGAAGGCAGCAUACCGGCGCUCAACUGACGCUCAUGCACGAAAGUGUGGGUAUCGAACAGGAUUAGAUACCCUGGUAGUCCACACAGUAAACGAUGAAUACUAAUUGUUCGGGGAGAAUGAUCCCUGAGUGAUACAGCGAAAGCGUUAAGUAUUCCACCUGGGGAGUACGCCGGCAACGGUGAAACUCAAAGGAAUUGACGGGGGCCCGCACAAGCGGAGGAACAUGUGGUUUAAUUCGAUGAUACGCGAGGAACCUUACCCGGGCUCAAACGACACAGGAAUACUUUUGAAAGGAGGUAGCUCUACGGAGUCUGUGUCGAGGUGCUGCAUGGUUGUCGUCAGCUCGUGCCGUGAGGUGUCGGCUUAAGUGCCAUAACGAGCGCAACCCCCAUCGCCAGUUACCAGUAAGUCAAGUUGGGGACUCUGGCGAGACUGCCGGCGCGAGCUGUGAGGAAGGCGGGGAUGACGUCAAAUCAGCACGGCCCUUACGUCCGGGGCGACACACGUGUUACAAUGGCAGGUACAGAGAGAAGCAAUGCGGCGACGCAAAGCGGAACUUGAAAGCCUGUCUCAGUUCGGAUUGGAGUCUGCAACUCGACUCCAUGAAGCUGGAUUCGCUAGUAAUCGCGCAUCAGCCAUGGCGCGGUGAAUACGUUCCCGGGCCUUGUACACACCGCCCGUCAAG
Molecule: ribosomal RNA, 1404 nt
Filed under: uncultured bacterium
Lineage: Bacteria
Description: bacterial SSU rRNA
Rfam family: Bacterial small subunit ribosomal RNA
Source: RNAcentral